This 1482-nucleotide ribosomal RNA is filed under the name uncultured Bordetella sp. RNAcentral describes it as "partial 16S-23S ribosomal RNA intergenic spacer". It matches the Rfam family "Bacterial small subunit ribosomal RNA". Lineage: Bacteria; Pseudomonadati; Pseudomonadota; Betaproteobacteria; Burkholderiales; Alcaligenaceae. The record is from RNAcentral.
GGUUUGAUCAUGGCUCAGAUUGAACGCUGGCGGGAUGCUUUACACAUGCAAGUCGAACGGCAGCACGGACUUCGGUCUGGUGGUGAGUGGCGAACGGGUGAGUAAUGUAUCGGAACGCUUAGUAGCGGGGGAUAACUACGCGAAAGCGUAGCUAAUACCGCAUACGCCCUUCGGGGGGAAAGCGGGGACCUUCUUCGGGCCUCGCACUAUUAGAGCGCCGAUAUCGGAUUAGCUAGUUGGUGGGUAACGGCUCACCACAGCGACGAUCCGUAGCUGGUUUGAGAGGACGACCAGCCACACUGGGACUGAGACACGGCCCAGACUCCUACGGGAGGCAGCAGUGGGGAAUUUUGGACAAUGGGGAAACCCUGAUCCAGCCAUCCUGCGUGUGCGAUGAAGGCCUUCGGGUUGUAAAGCACUUUUGGCAGGAAAGAAACGAGGCACGGGAUAAUACCCUGCACUGACGGUACCUGCAGAAUAAGCACCGGCUAACUACGUGCCAGCAGCGCCACGGUAAUACGUAGGGUGCAAGUUGCGUUAAUCGGAAUUACUGGGCGUAAAGCGUGCGCAGGCGGUUCGGAAAGAAAGAUGUGAAAUCCCAGAGCUUAACUUUGGAACUGCAUUUUUAACUACCGAGCUAGAGUGUGUCAGAGGGAGGUGGAAUUCCGCGUGUAGCAGGAAUGCGUAGAUAUGCGGAGGAACACCGAUGGCGAAGGCAGCUCUCUGGGAUAACACUGACGCUCAUGCACGAAAGCGUGGGGAGCAAACAGGAUUAGAUACCCUGGUAGUCCACGCCCUAAACGAUGCCGACCAGCUGUUGUGGGGCCUUCGGGCCUUUAUGCAGCUAACGCGCAGUUGACCGCCUGGGGAGUACGGUCGCAAGAUUAAAACUCAAAGGAAUUGACGGGGACCCGCACAAGCGGUGGAUGAUGUGGAUUAAUUCGAUGCAACGCGAAAACCUUACCUACCCUUGACAUGUCUGGAAUCCCGAAGAGAUUUGGGAGUGCUCGCAAGAGAACCGGAACACAGGUGCUGCAUGGCUGUCGUCAGCUCGUGUCGUGAGAUGUUGGGUUAAGUCCCGCAACGAAAGGCAACCCUUGUCAUUAGUUGCUACGAAAGGGCACUCUAAUGAGACUGCCGGUGACAAACCGGAGGAAGGGGAUGACGUCAAGUCCUCAUGGCCCUUAUGGGUAGGGCCACACGUCAUACAAUGGUCGGGACAGAGGGUCGCCAACCCGCGAGGGGGAGCCAAUCCCAGAAACCCGAUCGCAGUCCGGAUCGCAGUCUGCAACUCGACUGCGUGAAGUCGGAAUCGCUAGUAAUCGCGGAUCAGCAUGUCGCGGUGAAUACGUUCCCGGGUCUUGUACACACCGUCCGUCACACCAUGGGGAGUGGGUUUUACCAUGAAGUAGUUAGUCAACCGUAAGGAGGGCGAUUACCACGGUAGGAUUCAUGACUGUGGGUGAAGUCGUAACAAGGUAA